UACCGCGUGUGUGAAGAAGGCCUUAGGGUUGUAAAGCACUUUCAAUUGGGAGGAAAACCUACCGGUCAAUACCCGGUAGCUUGACAUUACCUUUAGAAGAAGCACCGGCUAACUCCGUGCCAGCAGCCGCGGUAAUACGGAGGGUGCGAGCGUUAAUCGGAAUUACUGGGCGUAAAGCGUGCGUAGGCGGUUCGUUAAGUCAGAUGUGAAAGCCCUGGGCUCAACCUGGGAACUGCAUUUGAAACUGGCGGACUAGAGUUUAGUAGAGGGGAGUGGAAUUUCAGGUGUAGCGGUGAAAUGCGUAGAUAUCUGAAGGAACACCAGUGGCGAAGGCGACUCCCUGGACUAGAACUGACGCUGAGGUACGAAAGCGUGGGUAGCAAACAGGAUUAGAUACCCUGGUAGUCCACGCCGUAAACGAUGUCGACUAGCCGUUGGGCCUAUAUACAGGUUUAGUGGCGCAGCUAACGCAUUAAGUCGACCGCCUGGGGAGUACGGCCGCAAGGUUAAAACUCAAAUGAAUUGACGGGGGCCCGCACAAGCGGUGGAGCAUGUGGUUUAAUUCGAUGCAACGCGAAGAACCUUACCUACCCUUGACAUCCAGAGAAUCUGUUAGA
RNAcentral lists this ribosomal RNA (617 nucleotides) under uncultured bacterium. RNAcentral's name for it is "bacterial SSU rRNA". It matches the Rfam family "Bacterial small subunit ribosomal RNA", at positions 395 to 1004 of the family's 1533-position model. The record is from RNAcentral.